Rhagoletis pomonella (apple maggot) is the source of this 707-nucleotide long non-coding RNA. RefSeq lists it as uncharacterized. NCBI's taxonomy places the organism in Eukaryota, Metazoa, Arthropoda, Insecta, Diptera, Tephritidae. The transcript has 2 exons. The record is from RefSeq and is a predicted model, not a curated record.
AAACUGCAUGUGGCCAUUAGGGCUGGGAAGAAAUCGGCAAGGAGGUGAAUGAGAAGAUCUGGAAUGAGAAGAAGGAGCAAUACACGGGCCGCCAGAAAUCCAAACUGCCCAAGUGGUUCGGCGAACGACCAGGCAAGAAGUCCGGCGAACCCGAGACACCCGAAGGCGAGGAAGACGCCAAGGCUGAUGAGGACAUCGUCGAGGAUGAAGAGGAAGUCGAGGAGGAGGUUGUCGAAGAGGAGGAUGAGGAAGCCGAGGAAGAAGAAGAGGAGGAAGAGGAAGAAGAGGAAGAGGAGGAGGAGGAAGAGGAGGAAGAAGAGGAGGAGGAAGAAGAGGAAGAAGAAUAAAUUAAUUUAACUACAUUUAAUAAAAUUUAAAAACAAAGAAAUUAGUUAUUAUUAGCUUAUUCGAGCAACCAACAAAUAUAAAACAGCAAAAAAGUAACGAGCGAAAAUCAGCAGGUGUAGCAGUUGACGAAGAUGAAGAAAAAUUAAUAUCAAAAACUGAAAAAAUUGUCAAAGCAACUCUCUCACUCGAACGCGAACUCAAACUCACUCUGACACAUUCACUACUGAUUAUUCACUCACUCGAACACAAACACACAAACAAACAACUGUGACAACACGAACGCAUUGUCGCUCUCUCUCUCUUUGUCUUUUAUAAGAAAUACAAGAACAAAAAAAUACGAAAAAAACAACAGCCAAAAC